CUAGAUUAGAGUUUGAUCCUGGCUCAGAAUCAACGCUAGCGGGAGGCCUAAUACAUGCAAGUCGAACGGUAACAGGGUAGCAAUACCGCUGACGAGUGGCGCACGGGUGAGUAACACGUACACAAUCUGCCUUAUACUGGAGCAUACCCCCAAGAAAUUGGGACUAAUUCUCCAUAACAUAUUGAAAAGGCAUCUUUUUAAUAUUAAAACUCAGGUGGUAUAAGAUGAGUGUGCGUCUGAUUAGCUAGUUGGUAAGGUAACGGCUUACCAAGGCAACGAUCAGUAACUGGUCUGAGAGGAUGAUCAGUCACACGGACACUGAGACACGGGUCCGACUCCUACGGGAGGCAGCAGUAGGGAAUAUUGGACAAUGGGCGCAAGCCUGAUCCAGCCAUCCCGCGUGAAGGAUUAAGGCCCUCUGGGUUGUAAACUUCUCUUCUCUGGGAAUAAAAAGUGGGAUUUAUCCUGCCUUGAAGGUACCAGAGGAAUAAGCACCGGCUAACUCCGUGCCAGCAGCCGCGGUAAUACGGAGGGUGCAAGCGUUAUCCGGAUUCACUGGGUUUAAAGGGUGCGUAGGUGGCUUUGUAAGUCAGUGGUGAAAUCUUAGAGCUUAACUCUAAAACUGCCAUUGAUACUGCUUAGCUUGAAUCAAGUAGAGGUGGAUGGAAUAUUACAUGUAGCGGUGAAAUGCUUAGAUAUGUAAUAGAACACCGAUUGCGAAGGCAGUUCACUAUGCUUGUAUUGACACUGAGGCACGAAAGCGUGGGGAUCAGACAGGAUUAGAUACCCUGGUAGUCCACGCCGUAAACGAUGAUAACUAGCUGUCGGGGGUCAUGGACUUUCGGUGGCGCAGCUAACGCAUUAAGUUAUCCGCCU
Molecule: ribosomal RNA, 876 nt
Filed under: uncultured bacterium
Lineage: Bacteria
Description: bacterial SSU rRNA
Rfam family: Bacterial small subunit ribosomal RNA
Source: RNAcentral